Acanthosepion pharaonis is the source of this 98-nucleotide non-coding RNA. The record is from the annotation of a GenBank genome assembly. NCBI's taxonomy places the organism in Eukaryota, Metazoa, Mollusca, Cephalopoda, Sepiida, Sepiidae.
UUGAAACACCGAUUCCCGUAUGAUUACCAAAGUUAAGCAACGUUGAGCCUGGUUAGUACCUAGAUAGGUGACCGCCUGGGAAUACCAGAUGUUGUAAG